This 467-nucleotide ribosomal RNA is filed under the name uncultured bacterium. Its description in RNAcentral is "partial 16S ribosomal RNA". It matches the Rfam family "Bacterial small subunit ribosomal RNA", at positions 28 to 506 of the family's 1533-position model. The record is from RNAcentral.
GACGAACGCUGGCGGCGUGCUUAACACAUGCAAGUCGAACGGAAAGGCCCUGCUUUUGUGGGGUGCUCGAGUGGCGAACGGGUGAGUAACACGUGAGUAACCUGCCCUUGACUUUGGGAUAACUUCAGGAAACUGGGGCUAAUACCGGAUAGGAGCUCCUGCUGCAUGGUGGGGGUUGGAAAGUUUCGGCGGUUGGGGAUGGACUCGCGGCUUAUCAGCUUGUUGGUGGGGUAGUGGCUUACCAAGGCUUUGACGGGUAGCCGGCCUGAGAGGGUGACCGGCCACAUUGGGACUGAGAUACGGCCAAGACUCCUACGGGAGGCAGCAGUGGGGAAUAUUGCACAAUGGGCGGAAGCCUGAUGCAGCAACGCCGCGUGCGGGAGGACGGCCUUCGGGUUGUAAACCGCUUUCGCCUGUGACGAAGCGUGAGGGACGGUAAUGGGUAAAGAAGCACCGGCUAACUACGU